GCGGGUUCACUUUGGCCCAAAGUGGUUUAAGUUCAAGUGCACAUGUUAAAAUAAAUUUGACUCACUGAUACUUCUUUUGUGUGGUGUUAUCACUGUGAACAUCCUGCCUCCACCUACGUCAGUGAGUGUUUGUUAACCAGACGAGAUUGAUGGUCGUUUUCUGACGAUAUCUAACUUAAAUUUGACGUGAUAAGUGUGUGUAUUUGUUAAAGAUAUAUUUAGUAAAGUGGAAGACCAUCAUACAAUGGAAGAUAAUUGCUCUGCAAUGGAAGAUGAUUGCUCACAGAAGUCAAGUGAUCAGAUUUUUGAGCAGCAGUCAAUGGGUUCAUCCCAGAUCAUCAGGGAGGAACAAUGUAAUAGAGAGAGAAAACAAUGGAGGAAAUCUCUUGGUGAUGCUUGGAGAUACUCCCUGGGUGAUUUUGAGGGUAAUAUUCUCACUAAUGAGACUACUAACAGUGCCAAGUGUCGUGUAGUACCCACAGAAAAGGAAUGUAAUAAAACUGCGGGCACAGAUGCAAGUGAUGAUUUACCCGAUGCCAUGCUUGGCUAUAAAUUGGAGUCUGUGGAUGGCAUUAAAUACAAAUCUACUACCUCUACUCAGUUGUCCAGCAACAUAUUAACAGUUGCAGAUAAAUGCAGUAUCAGUGAAAAUUCUGAUAAUUGUUCUGAUCAAAACGCUGAUUAUUUCCGAGAUGGAUCAAAGAGUGAUGGAGAUACAUGCAGUGAUACACGCAGUGAGCCUGUAUUAAUGAGAUCUACUUCAACCAGCUGCUCCAGCCCGCAUGACAAGUCUCCUACAUCCCCAUCCAGUAGUGAGGAUGCGUUUCAUGAUAUGAAAUUUACGAUAUCUCCCUGGUCCCCAUCUAGUGGGUGUACUCAAUCGGUGCGUCUUAUAAAGGUUCGAACAAGGAAUGUCAGAAGAUCAUUAAGCAAUGAUCCUGAUAUACAAAGCCGAUACAUAGCAUCUAUGGAACACCACAUUAAACUACUCAAAGAUGAGCGUGAGAGUGUGCAGAAGAAAACCUUUUGUAAAUGGGUAAAUUCUCACUUGGUUCGUGUUAGUGCUCGAAUUGCAGACCUCUACGUUGAUCUUCGAGAUGGAAAGCAACUCAUCAAGCUUCUGGAGAUCCUCUCUGGAGAACGACUACCACGACCCACCAAAGGAAAGAUGAGAAUCCACUGCCUUGAGAAUGUAGACAAAGCUUUGCAGUUCCUCCGGGAUCAACGCGUCCACUUGGAGAACAUGGGUUCACACGACAUUGUCGAUGGUAAUGCACGUCUCACAUUGGGUCUCAUCUGGACCAUUAUCCUCCGCUUCCAAAUUCAAGAUAUUACCAUCGAAGAGACAGAGAAUCAAGAGACAAAAAGUGCAAAGGAUGCUCUUCUUCUUUGGUGUCAAAUGAAGACUGCUGGUUAUCACAAUGUUAACAUCAGAAAUUUCACUACAUCUUGGAGAGAUGGCUUGGCUUUUAAUGCCAUCAUUCACAAGCAUAGACCAGAUUUGGUGCAGUAUGAGAAAUUAUCUCGUUCAAAUCCCAUUCACAACCUCAACAAUGCUUUCAAUGUGGCUGAAAACAAACUGGGGCUUACAAAACUCUUGGAUGCUGAGGAUAUAUUUGUUGAACAGCCUGAUGAGAAGUCAAUUAUUACCUAUGUUGUCACCUACUACCACUACUUCUCAAAGUUGAAGCAGGAGACAGUUCAAGGCAAACGUAUAGGCAAGGUGGUUGGUAUUGCCAUGGAGAAUGAUAGGAUGAUCAGAGAGUACGAAGGCUUGACCUCGGAUCUUCUCAAGUGGAUUGAAACUACAAUUGAAUCUCUUAAUGACCGAGAUUUUGCCAACUCCUUAACUGGAGUUCAAACGCAGUUGACACAGUUCAACACUUACCGCACUGUAGAAAAACCACCAAAGUUUGUAGAAAAGGGUAACCUUGAGGUGCUGCUUUUUACUUUACAAUCAAAGAUGCGAGCUAACAACCAAAAACCAUAUUUGCCUAAAGAAGGUAAAAUGAUUAGUGACAUCAAUAAAGCCUGGGAACGUUUGGAGAAGGCAGAACACGAACGAGAGUUAGCAUUGCGAGAAGAACUCAUUCGUCAAGAGAAAUUGGAGCAGCUGGCAGCUAGAUUUAACCGCAAGGCUGGGAUGAGAGAAACUUGGCUGUCUGAAAACCAACGUCUUGUUUCUCAGGACAACUUUGGCUUUGAUUUGGCAGCAGUGGAAGCAGCAGCAAAGAAACAUGAAGCUAUUGAGACUGAUAUCUUUGCUUAUGAGGAACGUGUACAGGCAGUUGUUGCAGUGGCACAGGAACUUGAGACUGAACGAUAUCAUGAUAUUGAACGCAUUAAUGCCAGGAAAGAUAAUGUGUUACGGCUAUGGAACUACUUGCUGGAGCUUUUGCGCCUUCGUCGUAUGAGACUCGAACUUUCCCUACAAUUGCAACAGAACUUCCAAGAAAUGAUAUACAUUCUAGAUUCUAUGGAAGAUAUGAAAGUACGGCUGUUAAGUGAAGAUUAUGGAAAACAUCUUAUGGGUGUAGAGGACUUGCUGCAAAAACAUUCCUUGUUGGAGGCAGAUAUCAAUGUUCUGGGUGAGCGUGUAAAAACUGUUAUCGAACAUUCUCAAAGGUUCCUUGAUGAUGAGCAAGUGGAAGGUUAUCGGCCAUGUGAUCCAUCCAUUGUCUUGGAACGUGUGCAGCAAUUAGAAGAUGCUUAUGGUGAAUUAGUCAAGCUGGCAGUGGAGCGUCGACUGCGUUUGGAAGAGUCCCGCAAGUUAUGGCAGUUCUACUGGGAUAUGGCAGAGGAGGAGAAUUGGAUCAAGGAGAAGGAACAAAUUCUGUCAACUUCAGAUAUAGGGCAUGACCUCAUUACUGUUAACCUACUCUUGACUAAGCACAAAACUGUAGAAGAAGAACUUCUUUCUCAUGAACCCCAAAUAAUGGCUGUUGUCAAGGUUGGAGAAGAGCUAAUUGUUCAGCAACACUUUGGUUCCGACAAAAUUCAGGAAAGAAUUGAUGAGAUUAUGGGAAUGUGGAACAGCCUUAAGGAGAAGUCUGCAACCAGAAAGAAGAGGUUGACAGAUGCAGUGGACCUGCAUCAGUUCUAUACAGAAGCCGAUGAUGUGGACACAUGGAUGCUAGAUAUACUGCGUUUGGUAUCCAGUGAAGAUACUGGCAGAGAUGAAGCCACUGUACAGUCUCUACUUAAGAAACACAAAGAUGUUACUGAAGAGUUGAAGAAUUAUGCCACUACAAUUGAAGCUCUUCACCAACAAGCAUCGGAGCUUAAUGAGAUUGACAGAGAGUCUCCAGAUGUCGUUGAAAGGUUGGCAUCAAUUGAUAGACGUUACAAAGAACUCCUGGAAUUGGCAAAGAUGCGUAAACAGAGACUUCUUGAUGCCUUGUCAUUGUAUAAAUUAUUCACUGAGGCAGAUGGUGUUGAACAGUGGAUAGGAGAGAAAGAAAGAAUGCUUCAAACGAUGGUUCCAGCAAAGGAUAUUGAAGAUUGUGAGAUCAUGAAACAUAGAUAUGAAGGAUUUGAACAGGAAAUGAAUGCUAAUGCUAGUCGUGUUGCAGUAGUGAAUCAACUAGCUCGCCAGCUGCUACAUGUUGAACACCCUAAUUCGGAAGACAUUGUAACCCGCCAGAAUCAGUUAAACCAGCGAUGGGCAGAGCUACGGGAAAAGGCUGAGAACAAACGUGAAGAACUUAACUCUGCUCAUGGUGUUCAGACAUUCCACAUUGAAUGCCGAGAAACUGUUCUGUGGAUUGAGGACAAGAAGAGAGUCUUGAUGGAGACGGCUGAUCUUGGUACUGAUCUAAGUGGUAUCAUGACUCUACAGCGGCGUCUUUCUGGUAUGGAGCGAGACUUGGCAGCCAUUCAAGCAAAGUUGGAUUCUUUGGAAAGAGAAGCAGAUAAGAUUAGUAAAGACCAUCCUGAAGAAGCUGAACUUAUUCGUGAACGUGUUGAACAAAUUCGUGCUGUAUGGGAUCAGCUUACUCAACUCUUGAAGGAACGUGAUGCUAAACUUGAGGAGGCUGGUGAUCUUCAUCGCUUCUUGCGUGAUUUGGAUCAUUUCCAGGCCUGGUUGACAAAGACCAUGACUGAUGUUGCCUCUGAAGAUAUUCCAUCUAAUCUUGCUGAAGCAGAGAAGCUUCUUAGUCAGCACCAGUCUAUCAGAGAAGAGAUUGAUAAUUACACUGAAGAUUACACUAAGAUGAUGGAAUAUGGUGAACGUAUAACUGCAGAAGAUGUCACUCCAGCUGAUGAUGCUCAGUAUAUGUUCUUAAGAGAACGUCUGAAGGCCCUGAAGGAUGGCUGGGCAGAAUUACACCAGAUGUGGGAGAACAGACAACAGCUUUUGUCCCAGUCUCUUAACUUGCAAAUGUUCUUGCGUGACACCAAACAAGGUGAAGUACUUCUUAGCCAGCAGGAGCACUACCUCAGCAAGGAUGAGACGCCUACAAACUUGGAACAGGCAGAGAACCUCAUUAAGAGACAUGAAGCAUUCCUUACAACCAUGGAAGCUAAUGAUGAAAAGAUAAAUGGCAUAUGUCAAUUUGCUCAGAGGCUUUUGGAUGAAGAGCACUUUGCAGCAGACAAAAUCCAGAAGAAGGCAGAAAAUAUUGAAGAACGUCGUCAACAAAAUAGAGAACGAGCAAUGGAGCAGAUGGAACGUUUAAGGGACCAAUUGCAAGUACAUCAGUUCCUUCAAGACUGUGAAGAACUAAAUGAUUGGGUCCAGGAAAAACAUAUCAUUGCCCAAGAUGAGAGUUAUCGGUCAGCCAAGACUGUGCAUAGUAAGUGGACCCGUCACCAGGCCUUUGAAGCAGAGAUUGCCAGCAAUAAAGACAGGUUAAUCAGAGUACAACAGGCUGGAGAGGAAUUAGUUAAAGAAAAACCAGAGAUGGCCGAGCUCAUUGGACCCAAGAUUAGCGAACUUAACCAGCACUUUGAUGCUCUUGAAACCACUACCAAAGAAAAGGGUGAACGUCUGUUUGAUGCUAAUCGGCAAGUGCUUUAUGAGCAGACUUGUGAUGACAUUGAUACUUGGAUGACAGACUUGGAAAAGCAAAUUGAAGGUCGUGAUACAGGAAUGGAUCUUACUUCUGUAAAUAUACUCAUGCAGAAACAACAAAUGAUUGAAACACAAAUGGCUGUUAAAGCCAAACAAGUGGAACAGUUAGAAAGUCAAGCUGAUUAUUUACAACGCAUGACACCAGAGAAGACUGAGGAAAUUAAAUUAAUGAAGGCAAUGGUAGAAAAGAAGUUCGAGUCGCUCAAAGCUCCCCUAGAUGAACGUAAUUGGGCUCUGGCAAAAAAGAAAGAAGCAUAUCAGUUCAGAAGAGAUGUGGAGGAUGAGAAGUUAUGGAUACUAGAAAAGAUGCCACAGGCAUCUAACACAGAAUAUGGCAACUCUCUCUUCACCGUCCACAUGCUAAAGAAGAAGCUCCAGAGUUUAAGCACAGAAAUUGAUAACCAUGAACCACGCAUUAAUUUGGUAUGUGCAAAUGGCAGAAAACUUAUUGAAGAAGGACACGAGAGUGCAGACGAAUUCCACAAAUUGUUAGAGGAUUUGUUAGAUCAUUGGGCCAAAUUGAAGGAUGCCUUAGAGCACAGACGGUCAAAACUUUUGGUGUCGGAAAAAGCACAACAAUAUCUCUUUGAUGCAAGUGAGGCAGAGGUUUGGAUGAGUGAACAGGAACUUUACAUGAUGGUGGAGGAUCGUGGCAAGGAUGAAAUUUCUGCUCAGAACUUGAUGAAGAAACACCAGAGUUUAGAGUGUGCUGUAGCAGACUAUGCAGAAACGAUAAGACAGCUUGGAGAAACGGCGAGACAUCUUAUUAAUGAAGAACAUCCUGACAGUGAACAGAUAGGAAUCAGACAGUCACAAAUAGAUAAGCUGUAUGCUGGACUGCGGGACCUUGCAGUAGAACGACGCAGCAAAUUAGACGAAGCCCUCAAACUGUUUAUGUUGAACCGUGAAGUUGACGACUUAGAGCAAUGGAUUGCAGAACGGGAGGUAGUUGCUGGGUCGCAUGAGCUUGGUCAAGACUACGACCAUGUCUCGAUGCUCCGUGAUCGGUUUAAGGAGUUUGCUCGUGACACAGAAACUAUUGGAACAGAGCGAGUUGCAGCUGUCAAUGAGAUAGCUGAUCAGUUAAUAUCUGCUGGUCAUUCUGAUGCAGCCACCAUAGCAGAAUGGAAGGAUGGUCUGAAUGAAUCUUGGGCUGACUUGCUGGAGCUAAUUGAGACACGCACACAAAUGUUAGCAGCUUCUUGGGAACUACAUAAAUUCUUCCAUGAUUGUAAGGACGUACUGAGUCGCAUCCUAGAAAAACAGAACAGCAUAUCAGAUGAACUUGGCCGUGAUGCUGGUUCAGUUUCAGCUCUACAAAGAAAACAUCAGAACUUUGUACAAGACUUGGUUAUGCUUCAACAACAGGUCCAACAAGUUCAGGAAGAUUCGUCCAAACUACAAGCAGCAUAUGCAGGUGAUAAAGCUCGUGAGAUUACCAAUCGUGAAGCGGAAGUGGUCUCAGCAUGGUUGAAUUUACAAGGCAUGUGUGAAGACAGACGAAUUAAGCUACAUGACACUGGAGAUCUAUUCAAAUUCUUCAACAUGGUGCGCACUCUAAUAUUAUGGAUGGAUGAUGUUAUCAGACAGAUGAACACUACUGAAAAACCCAGGGAUGUAAGUGGUGUAGAGUUGUUAAUGAACAAUCAUCAAAGUUUGAAAGCAGAAGUAGACGCACGGGAAGACAACUUUAAUGUGUGCGUGUUUCUCGGGAAGGAGUUACUCUCCCGAAAUCAUUAUGCCACACCAGAAAUUAAGGAGAAGCUUAUGUCGCUUAGCAACCAGCGCAUCAACAUGCUUCAACGUUGGGAAGAAAGAUGGGAGCAUCUGCAGCUCAUUUUGGAGGUGUACCAGUUUGCUCGUGAUGCAUCUGUAGCAGAGCAGUGGCUGCUUGCUCAGGAACCGUACCUCGUAUCAUCAGAGUUCGGGAGAUCUAUUGAUGAAGUUGAAAACCUUAUCAAGAAGCAUGAAGCAUUUGAUAAGGCAUGUUCAGCCCAAGAAGAACGGUUUGCUGCCUUAGAGAGAUUAACUACGCUUGAAGCCCUUAUAGUAACUGAUGCAAGAUCACGUGCUAACAGUGUUCCAGGAACCAGUGUCCACCGUACCUUCCUUCUUCCUUACUCUCCUCCACCAGCUUCGCAUCGGCGGCACUCACUUCCCACUUCUGUUCAUGCAUUCUUCACCGCAUUUUCCUGUCCUGCUCUAACACAGUUACAGGCUGCUAGGUUCACCAGUAUUCAUACAUUGCCAGAGAACAUGCUGGCAAAUUCAGCUCUUAGGGAUUCUUUAAAGAAAUGCAGGAGAAGAUUAAAUUCCACCUCAAAUCCACAAUUGUCUCUAACUAUGCAUGUAAAAGAUUCAGAUACAGAUAGUUUGUUUUCAGAUAUGUUAAAUCAGCGCUGCUGUUACUAUGAAGGGCGUCCUACUAGUGCCCCUCCUACUAAUUCAUUACACAUAGGCUCCAAACAUUCUUCCUUUAAUAAUAUAUCCACAUCAGCAAGUCGAUCUCAAUCUGUGGAAAAUAGAGAAUGUACAAAUGGCAAGUCAUUACAUUUAGGUGUCCAAGAUGGAGGCUGGGAUACUAAAUCCAGUGGUUCAGUUUAUGAAUUUGUUAGUGUAGAUGAGUAUGAAGCUCCAUAUUUAGAAGAGUCUAGUGACAGAAUAUCAGAAUUUUGUUCGUAUGGUGUAGAACUUGGAGAACUUGAUUGUAUUAAUGAAUUGGAGGAUGACGAAAUGUCAGAGCCAGUAAGUAGUUAUAAGGCAUAUAGGAAAAGUCAGAUAUAUGGUUAUACAGACACAGCUGAUGAUAGUACUACUCUACCACCUAUUUAUGAGUUAGAAGGCGAGGGAUCUGAAAUUACUGAACUGACUGAUACGAGAUCUGUUGAAUUUUUGAGCUCUGAAAGUCUACUCGAUAAGUCAGAGAACUCGACUCGAAAGAAUAGUAAAACCUCGUAUGAAGUUCCUCAGUAUCCAAAGCUCAUGGACCAAAAUUAUUGUGCUCAAUAUUGCUCUGAUAAUGAUUCCAUCAUGAGUUAUUACUCGGUUGUCCCUCGUGAGGGCUUUACGGAUAGCAUACGCAAUGUUGAUCAUUUAGUAGGAAAACUAGACUUAAGGAAUGUGCAGGGGUGUCCCUCACCUGUCUCGCCUUUCCCUCUCACUCCACCCAAUACCUGUGAUUCCUCUCCUAAGUUCUUAAAUAUUAAACAUCCUGCAAGAAAUAACCUGCAUGCUCUGUGUGGUGUAGAGUAUGAACUGAAGGAACUAAAGCGAAAGCAAGAGGAGGAGGAGGAAGAGCGACGAAGACAAGAAGAGUUGGCGAGACAAGCUGCUGCUCCUCCGCCCCAGUCACCAGAUCAGCCUACAGAUGGAGUUGAUGGUGCAGCAGAGGACUCUCAUCUCAAUGGAGAGGAGCUCGACGAAUCACAAGAAGCUGUUGAACCACCAUCAGCAGUGCUUCCUUCCAAGGGCCAACCCCAUACGUUGCCCCGAGAGCAUGAUGAGAGUGGAGCAGUGCGAGGGGGUAGUGCACCUAGCACCCCACGACCUCCUUCCACUCCUGUCACCCCCACUGCUGCAUCGAGCGCAGUCCGAGGGCGCCCUGUCUCCGCCACCCUCCCUCCACAGUCAUCCCUGUCAUCCCCAGCUUCGCCCCCCACUCCUGCUAGUAAGGAGUCGCGACGGAGGGUGCGUUCUAGAUCGAAGUCUCCAUUCCGCUCUUUCCGCUGGAAGAAAUCCAAGUCUUCUCCAUCCGGAGCACCGGGUAGUGCAUCUGACGAUGAAUCAAAUCUGGAGAGGGCAGCAGAACGACCAAGCCCCAGUGGAGAUGAAGAUCAGCUAGAGGGCAGCUUGGUGCGUAAACACGAAUGGGAAUCUACUACAAAGAAGGCCUCUAAUCGGUCUUGGGACAAGGUGUUCCUGGUGCUCCGUGGAAACAUGUUGAUGUUCUAUAAAGAUCGCAAGAGCUAUCAAGCUGCUCCAGAAGUCUUCUUUAGAGCUGAAGCGCCUUGUGAUGUUUCGGGUGGACAAGCAUCAAUUGCUGAUGAUUACACGAAGAAGAAGCAUGUUCUACGACUUAAAUUGAUUGGUGGUGCUGAGUAUUUGUUCCAAGCCAAAGAUGAAGAGGAGCUGACAGUAUGGGUUGGAUCUCUCCAAAUGGCUGCAUCCGCUGAAGGAUCAGCCGGUCCUUCUCGCUCCCAGACUCUCCCAGCUGGCUCCGAGAAGAAAGACGAGCCCAAGAGACGCAGCUUCUUUACUCUCAAGAAGAAAUAAUGGGCUGAAUGUCCAUAACUAUUUACUCUCCCUUUCCCUUUUCUUUAUUUCUCAGCCUACACUUGACACCCUUCAUAAUCAUUUCCUUUUCAAAGUCUCUUAGCAAUAUCUUGCUCUUCUAAGCCCGGUUUCAGACCCAGUGUGGAAUAUAUACAUGAGAGUUGAAAUGCUAGUGCUGGUCUGGGCUUGUAUUAUUGGCUGCUGUUUUAUUGCUAUUGGGUUGGAACAAAGUAGAAUCUGCUUUAGCAUCAUCAGCUUCUCUUUAUGCAAUGUUUCCCAAACUGGGUCUGAACGGUAGCAUUGUGAAAUCAUGUUCAUUUUCGUACAUCAAAUUUUUAGUCCCUAGUGUUCAGUUAACAAUACCACACAAGGUAUUAAUUUUUCCCAUGGAGUAAAAAGUGAUGAUAGUUUUGUGUACUAGCUCUGGUGGAAGAAUACGUGAGUCUGUGCAGUUCCCAAAUGUUGUCUGCCUAGCACUGCCAUGGCUGAGUUUUCCAAUGUUUGUUCCUCUUUUUGUAGGGACUUGUGUGUGAAAUUGUAUAUUUAGUAUUAUGUCAGAUGUCCCAUACUUUGUGAGAGUAAUGAUUUGUUAAUUUUAUGUGUCUCUAGCUGUAGUACCACAGUUUUGACUAGAUAGCACAUAAUUGUAUUGUACAGAAAUGAUAGAAUCAUACCUAUUAUGCUGCUUUAUGCUUACAUUUUUAGACAUAGUAUAAUAUUUCAUGUACCACUUCAUAGUUGUUCAAAUCAUUACCAGAGUAUGGAAGGCCAGCCAGUAUCAUAAUUUUUGUUAAUGGGCAAAUUCAUUCUGCUUCAAAGUGUAGGUGUGGCACAGAUAUGUUCCUUUAUAUUCUUAAAUUUCAACCUUAUCUGGUCUUAUCCUAUGAAAUCAAGUUCUUCAUCUCUACAUCGGCAAUGAAUUGAAGACUCCAGGCAUAGUACUUGGACCAGCCACCUUCUACCAGAUGGCCAGUUUUCCCAUGUGGUCAAGAUGAACACGCGCAGGUGCCUGGCAGAUUUAGAUGGUUUUCCUCGGCCCAAAAUGAUCUUCAAAUCGUCAGGGCUUGCUCCAUCUCUUCAUACUUGGGCUUCACUUUUCUCAGGUUGGGGGCCAAGCUUGCUCCUCUUUCUCCUCCUGGUUGCUGGUAGGAAGUGGCUACUCAAGGUUCCCUGUGUACAUGAAAGUAAACAAACCUGUGACUGACAGCUAAAAGUUCCUGGCUGUCUUCCAUUACUUAAUGUAUAUUGAUAUUAGGUUGUAUAUCUUAAGAAAUUAACCAGGUCAGCAUGAUGCAGCAAGGUUGAUGAUGAUCCUUUUUUUUUAUAAAAGACGAAACACGAUGUUCUGUAAUAUAAAGUGGAAAUAUGUACAGGUUAUUAUAGUGAUUGAAGUAUAUAUAUUAAAAUGCCUGCAGAAGUUUGUUUUAUACAUAUUUAACAGUUGAACAUGUUGUGGUUAAUUUCUUAAUUACUUUUAUCUUUUUUACAGUCUUCAUUAAAUUUUUUAAAUUUUUUCUACUGAAUAAUCUAGCUUAUAUUUUUAAAUCUUUUAGUCAUGAGAUCUUUAAAAUGUUUAUUUACAUAAAAUAUCUAUAUAAAGUAUUUAAUAUCUGACCCAUUAUUUUGGAUACACUGUAGUUCUUCUAUUACAAUUAUCAGCUUCUUAGCUUUUAAUAAAUUUAUAUUUAAAUAAUCUAAUUACUGACUAAGGGAGAAGAUCAGUACUCAUGGUGUAUUUUUCUCUGGAAUAAAUUUAUAAACCUCGGUUGUAUUUAUAGCUAAUCAACAAUUUGACUAUACAAAAUAAUAGUCUGUUUUCCAGGCCACCAAAUGGCUUCAUUUAUGACAUGACCAUGUUAGCCACUGUCUUGUUUGUGCUACUAAAGAAACGACCGAGCCAAAA
Molecule: non-coding RNA, 11249 nt
Organism: Procambarus clarkii (red swamp crayfish)
Lineage: Eukaryota; Metazoa; Arthropoda; Malacostraca; Decapoda; Cambaridae
Source: RefSeq, a predicted model, not a curated record